Molecule: ribosomal RNA, 883 nt
Filed under: Neoscytalidium dimidiatum
Lineage: Eukaryota; Fungi; Ascomycota; Dothideomycetes; Botryosphaeriales; Botryosphaeriaceae
Description: partial large subunit ribosomal RNA
Rfam family: Eukaryotic large subunit ribosomal RNA
Source: RNAcentral
GCAUAUCAAUAAGCGGAGGAAAAGAAACCAACAGGGAUUGCCUCAGUAACGGCGAGUGAAGCGGCAACAGCUCAAAUUUGAAAGCUGGCCCCCCCGGGGGUCCGCGUUGUAAUUUGUAGAGGAUGAUUCGGCGAGGGCUCCCGCCUAAGUCCCCUGGAACGGGGCGUCAUAGAGGGUGAGAAUCCCGUAUGCGGUGGGCUGCCUUAGCCAUGUGAAUCUCCUUCGACGAGUCGAGUUGUUUGGGAAUGCAGCUCUAAAUGGGAGGUAAAUUUCUUCUAAAGCUAAAUACCGGCCAGAGACCGAUAGCGCACAAGUAGAGUGAUCGAAAGAUGAAAAGCACUUUGGAAAGAGAGUUAAAAAGUACGUGAAAUUGUUGAAAGGGAAGCGCUUGCAGCCAGACUUGCCCGCAGUUGCUCAGCCGGUCUCCUGACCGGCGCACUCUUCUGCGGCCAGGCCAGCAUCAGUUCGGGCGGUCGGAUAAAGGCCCCGGGAACGUAGCUCCUCUCGGGGAGUGUUAUAGCCCGGGGUGGAAUGCGGCCAGCCUGGACUGAGGAUCUCGCUUCGGCUAGGAUGCUGGCGUAAUGGCUGUAAGCGGCCCGUCUUGAAACACGGACCAAGGAGUCUAACAUCUAUGCGAGUGUUUGGGUGUCAAACCCAUGCGCGUAAUGAAAGUGAACGGAGGUGGGAACCCUCGCGGGUGCACCAUCGACCGAUCCUGAUGUCUUCGGAUGGAUUUGAGUAAGAGCAUAGCUGUUGGGACCCGAAAGAUGGUGAACUAUGCCUGAAUAGGGUGAAGCCAGAGGAAACUCUGGUGGAGGCUCGCAGCGGUUCUGACGUGCAAAUCGAUCGUCAAAUUUGGGUAUAGGGGCGAAAGACUAAUCGA